AAUAAAGAUAAACCCAUUAACACCGAUUAAUGUCCAUAUGACAUGUUAUAUUGGCAUUUAGAAAUCAGACGUUAUAUGUAUAUGGUGCAUUUCGACGAUAAAAACAAACAUGAUUGGAAGAUUGCUAAUAGAACUGAUGCUGUGCUUUCGAGCUCCCAACAAAGCAG
Molecule: long non-coding RNA, 167 nt
Organism: Hyposmocoma kahamanoa
Lineage: Eukaryota; Metazoa; Arthropoda; Insecta; Lepidoptera; Cosmopterigidae
Exons: 3
Source: RefSeq, a predicted model, not a curated record